UCGUUGUAGCAAUACGAUGGAAAGUCUAGUGGCGAACGGGUGCUUAACACGUGGGCAACCUGCCAAGAAGUGGGGGAUAGCUCGCCGAAAGGCGAAUUAAUACCGCAUGUGAUUAGAGAGGACAUCCUUUCGAAAUUAAAGUCGGGGCAACCUGACGCUUUUUGUGGGGCCCGCGGCCUAUCAGCUAGUUGGUGAGGUAACGGCCCACCAAGGCUUUGACGGGUAGCUGGUCUGAGAGGACGACCAGCCACACUGGGACUGAGACACGGCCCAGACACCUACGGGUGGCAGCAGUCGAGAAUUUUUGACAAUGGGGGAAACCCUGAUCGAGCGACGCCGCGUGGAGGAUGAAGGUCUUCGGAUUGUAAACUCCUGUCAUUGGGGAACAAGGUGCAUACGUUAACUGCGUGUGCAUUGAUAGUACCCGAAGAGGAAGAGACGGCUAACUCUGUGCCAGCAGCCGCGGUAAUACAGAGGUCUCGAGCGUUGUUCGGAUUCAUUGGGCGUAAAGGGCGCGUAGGCGGCGGGGUAAGUCUGGUGUGAAAUCUAGGAGCUCAACUCCUAAACUGCACUGGAUACUGCUUUGCUAGAGGACUGGAGAGGAGACUGGAAUUCACGGUGUAGCA
This 626-nucleotide ribosomal RNA is filed under the name uncultured Verrucomicrobiota bacterium. Its description in RNAcentral is "bacterial SSU rRNA". It matches the Rfam family "Bacterial small subunit ribosomal RNA", at positions 71 to 680 of the family's 1533-position model. Lineage: Bacteria; Pseudomonadati; Verrucomicrobiota. The record is from RNAcentral.